This 253-nucleotide ribosomal RNA is filed under the name uncultured bacterium. RNAcentral's name for it is "partial 16S ribosomal RNA". It matches the Rfam family "Bacterial small subunit ribosomal RNA", at positions 524 to 776 of the family's 1533-position model. The record is from RNAcentral.
UACAGAGGUCCCGAGCGUUGCUCGGAAUCACUGGGCGUAAAGGGUGCGUAGGCGGGGCUUUAAGUCAGGGGUGAAAUCCUGGAGCUCAACUCCAGAACUGCCUUUGAUACUGAAGAUCUUGAGUUCGGGAGAGGUGAGUGGAACUGCGAGUGUAGAGGUGAAAUUCGUAGAUAUUCGCAAGAACACCAGUGGCGAAGGCGGCUCACUGGCCCGAUACUGACGCUGAGGCACGAAAGCGUGGGGAGCAAACAGG